This is a small nucleolar RNA of Pleuronectes platessa (European plaice), 84 nucleotides long. RefSeq annotates it as small nucleolar RNA SNORD11B. The transcript has a single exon. The record is from RefSeq and is a predicted model, not a curated record. Lineage: Eukaryota; Metazoa; Chordata; Actinopteri; Pleuronectiformes; Pleuronectidae.
UGACAGUAGUGAUGAUGACGACAUCUGUCUUACUCCUGAAUAAUCACAUGUGGGUUUUCAGUCACUACCUCAUCUGAACAGUCA